GCACUGCUGAGGAGUCCCACAACAGGACGAAACGGCCGUUCAGUGC
Molecule: non-coding RNA, 46 nt
Organism: Schistosoma mansoni
Lineage: Eukaryota; Metazoa; Platyhelminthes; Trematoda; Strigeidida; Schistosomatidae
Source: Rfam